Molecule: ribosomal RNA, 186 nt
Filed under: Vulpes vulpes (red fox)
Lineage: Eukaryota; Metazoa; Chordata; Mammalia; Carnivora; Canidae
Description: partial small subunit ribosomal RNA
Source: RNAcentral
CUAUGCUUAGCCCUAAACAUAAAUAGUUCUAUAACAAAACAAUUCGCCAGAGAACUACUAGCAACAGCUUAAAACUCAAAGGACUUGGCGGUGCUUUAUAUCCCUCUAGAGGAGCCUGUUCUAUAAUCGAUAAACCCCGAUAAACCUCACCAUCCCUUGCUAAUACAGUCUAUAUACCGCCAUCUU